GUCCUGUGGUAGCACAUACACUGAAAUUGGAACAACACAUAGAAGAUUAGCAUUGUCUCCGCAUAGGGAUGCCGCACAAGUUCAAAAGCAUUCCAUAUAUUU
This is a small nuclear RNA of Sorex araneus (European shrew), 102 nucleotides long. Lineage: Eukaryota; Metazoa; Chordata; Mammalia; Eulipotyphla; Soricidae. The record is from RefSeq and is a predicted model, not a curated record.